Long non-coding RNA from Columba livia (rock pigeon), 363 nucleotides. RefSeq lists it as uncharacterized. Lineage: Eukaryota; Metazoa; Chordata; Aves; Columbiformes; Columbidae. The transcript is spliced from 3 exons. The record is from RefSeq and is a predicted model, not a curated record.
AGUAAAGUGCUUCCUGUUCCACAAAGGCACAUGCCGUGCCAUGGAGAAUUGUUGACACUGAUGGACACCACCUGAAUAAAUCUGAGCUAAUCCCAUAAAGCAGAAGAGACUACAGAAGCUACUGUGAAUCACCCCAAGGCAAAGAAGCCUCUGCGCAGCUCUAUAUGCUUCUAAAAGCAGUCCUAUCUGUACUGAGCAGUGGGCCUCUGUCUACAAGCUCAUGUGAAAAACAUGAACUCUUCACGGUAUCUGGAGUCCGGCAUGGUUUCAGGAACGAAAAAUAUUUUCUAGUCACAACCCAGUUCACUCAUCUUAAUGUAGUCCUCAACAGCGAUAAAAGAGGAAAAUAAUCAUGCUCUAAUU